UGGUUCUCGCAUCGAUGAAGAACGCAGCGAAAUGCGAUACGUAAUGUGAAUUGCAGAAUUCCGUGAAUCAUCGAAUCUUUGAACGCACAUUGCGCCCCUUGGUUCUCCAGGGGGCAUGCCUGUUUGAGCGUCAUUUCCUUCUCAAACAAAUUUGUUUGGUUGUGAGUGACACUCUGUUUAUGCAGAGUUAACUUGAAAUUGUUAGCUGUUUAGAUUUGUCUAAAUUCAAUUUCCCAAAAGGAUAUUCUCAGUGAGAGUUGAUUUUUGUCGUAUUAGGUUUUACCAACUUCGACGGUGAUCAGUCUUGAGCUUUGGAUGUUAAAGUUCUCUUGGUGAAGAUGUUUUACAAGCAGUCUUGGCGAACAAUACUCUUUAAGUUUGACCUCAAAUCAGGUAGGAUUACCCGCUGA
RNAcentral lists this unclassified non-coding RNA (410 nucleotides) under uncultured fungus. Its description in RNAcentral is "partial contains 5.8S ribosomal RNA and internal transcribed spacer 2". The stretch from base 1 to 133 matches the Rfam family "5.8S ribosomal RNA", at positions 22 to 154 of the family's 154-position model. Lineage: Eukaryota; Fungi. The record is from RNAcentral.